UGGGGAAUUUUGGACAAUGGGCGCAAGCCUGAUCCAGCCAUGCCGCGUGAGUGAAGAAGGCCUUCGGGUUGUAAAGCUCUUUCAGCCGGAAAGAAAUCGUGCAACCUAAUACGUUGUAUGGAUGACGGUACCGGAAGAAGAAGCACCGGCUAACUACGUGCCAGCAGCCGCGGUAAUACGUAGGGUGCGAGCGUUAAUCGGAAUUACUGGGCGUAAAGCGUGCGCAGGCGGUUUUGUAAGACAGGCGUGAAAUCCCCGGGCUUAACCUGGGAACUGCGCUUGUGACUGCAAGGCUAGAGUAUGGCAGAGGGGGGUAGAAUUCCACGUGUAGCAGUGAAAUGCGUAGAGAUGUGGAGGAAUACCGAUGGCGAAGGCAGCCCCCUGGGUCAAUACUGACGCUCAUGCACGAAAGCGUGGGGAGCAAACAGGAUUAGAUACCCUGGUAGUCCACGCCCUAAACGAUGUCAACUAGGUGUUGGGGGAGGAGACUUCCUUAGUACCGCAGCUAACGCGUGAAGUUGACCGCCUGGGGAGUACGGCCGCAAGGUUG
Molecule: ribosomal RNA, 550 nt
Filed under: uncultured bacterium
Lineage: Bacteria
Description: bacterial SSU rRNA
Rfam family: Bacterial small subunit ribosomal RNA
Source: RNAcentral